RNAcentral lists this ribosomal RNA (563 nucleotides) under Aschersonia sp. isolate 8. Its description in RNAcentral is "eukaryotic LSU rRNA". The stretch from base 185 to 338 matches the Rfam family "5.8S ribosomal RNA". The record is from RNAcentral. Lineage: Eukaryota; Fungi; Ascomycota; Sordariomycetes; Hypocreales; Clavicipitaceae.
AUUUCCGUAGGUGAACCUGCGGAGGGAUCAUUACCGAGUUUACAACUCCCAAACCCCUGUGAACAUACCUUAUUGUUGCCUCGGCGGAUCAGCCCGCGCCCCGUAAAACGGGACGGCCCGCCAGAGGAACCCAAACUCUAUUGUAUUUAGUGUAUCUUCUGAGUAACACAAACAAAUAAAUCAAAACUUUCAACAACGGAUCUCUUGGUUCUGGCAUCGAUGAAGAACGCAGCAAAAUGCGAUAAGUAAUGUGAAUUGCAGAAUUCAGUGAAUCAUCGAAUCUUUGAACGCACAUUGCGCCCGCCAGUAUUCUGGCGGGCAUGCCUGUUCGAGCGUCAUUUCAACCCUCAAACCCCCGGGUUUGGUGUUGGGGAUCGGGUCGCUAGUCGACCCGUCUCCGAAAUCUAGUGGCGGUCUCGCUGCAGCCUCCAUUGCGUAGUAGCUAACACCUCGCAACUGGAACGCGGCGCGGCCAUGCCGUUAAACACCCAACUUCUGAAUGUUGACCUCGGAUCAGGUAGGAAUACCCACUGAACUUAAGCAUAUCAAUAAGCGGAGGAAAU